This 777-nucleotide ribosomal RNA is filed under the name Bacillus anthracis (anthrax bacterium). Its description in RNAcentral is "bacterial SSU rRNA". It matches the Rfam family "Bacterial small subunit ribosomal RNA", at positions 35 to 791 of the family's 1533-position model. The record is from RNAcentral. Lineage: Bacteria; Bacillati; Bacillota; Bacilli; Caryophanales; Bacillaceae.
GGUAGUGCGGCGUGCUAAUACAUGCAAGUCGAGCGAAUGGAUUAAGAGCUUGCUCUUAUGAAGUUAGCGGCGGACGGGUGAGUAACACGUGGGUAACCUGCCCAUAAGACUGGGAUAACUCCGGGAAACCGGGGCUAAUACCGGAUAACAUUUUGAACCGCAUGGUUCGAAAUUGAAAGGCGGCUUCGGCUGUCACUUAUGGAUGGACCCGCGUCGCAUUAGCUAGUUGGUGAGGUAACGGCUCACCAAGGCAACGAUGCGUAGCCGACCUGAGAGGGUGAUCGGCCACACUGGGACUGAGACACGGCCCAGACUCCUACGGGAGGCAGCAGUAGGGAAUCUUCCGCAAUGGACGAAAGUCUGACGGAGCAACGCCGCGUGAGUGAUGAAGGCUUUCGGGUCGUAAAACUCUGUUGUUAGGGAAGAACAAGUGCUAGUUGAAUAAGCUGGCACCUUGACGGUACCUAACCAGAAAGCCACGGCUAACUACGUGCCAGCAGCCGCGGUAAUACGUAGGUGGCAAGCGUUAUCCGGAAUUAUUGGGCGUAAAGCGCGCGCAGGUGGUUUCUUAAGUCUGAUGUGAAAGCCCACGGCUCAACCGUGGAGGGUCAUUGGAAACUGGGAGACUUGAGUGCAGAAGAGGAAAGUGGAAUUCCAUGUGUAGCGGUGAAAUGCGUAGAGAUAUGGAGGAACACCAGUGGCGAAGGCGACUUUCUGGUCUGUAACUGACACUGAGGCGCGAAAGCGUGGGGAGCAAACAGGAUUAGAUACCUGGGU